ACGAACGCUGGCGGCAGGCUUAACACAUGCAAGUCGAGCGAGAUCUUCGGGUCUAGCGGCGGACGGGUGAGUAACGCGUGGGAACGUGCCCUUCUCUACGGAAUAGCCCCGGGAAACUGGGAGUAAUACCGUAUACGCCCUUUGGGGGAAAGAUUUAUCGGAGAAGGAUCGGCCCGCGUUGGAUUAGGUAGUUGGUGGGGUAAUGGCCCACCAAGCCGACGAUCCAUAGCUGGUUUGAGAGGAUGAUCAGCCACACUGGGACUGAGACACGGCCCAGACUCCUACGGGAGGCAGCAGUGGGGAAUCUUAGACAAUGGGGGCAACCCUGAUCUAGCCAUGCCGCGUGAGUGAUGAAGGCCUUAGGGUUGUAAAGCUCUUUCAGCUGGGAAGAUAAUGACGGUACCAGCAGAAGAAGCCCCGGCUAACUCCGU
Molecule: ribosomal RNA, 431 nt
Filed under: uncultured Alphaproteobacteria bacterium
Lineage: Bacteria; Pseudomonadati; Pseudomonadota; Alphaproteobacteria
Description: bacterial SSU rRNA
Rfam family: Bacterial small subunit ribosomal RNA
Source: RNAcentral